AUGCUUGCUAAGGUGGACCGUUACCUGGCUGGGUGGCGGGCGCGGCUGCUCUCGCCGGUUGGUAGGAUGGUGUUGAUCAAUGUCAUCAUCGACUCCAUCCCAUCGUACGCCAUGGCGGCCAUGCGCCUUCCGCAGGCGGUUCUGGAUCGCCUGGACGCGCUGCGCUGGGCGUUUCUCUGGAACGUGGCGGACCGUGCCUCGGGUGCUCAGUGCCUGGUCGCCUGUGAGCGUGUCUGCCGCUCCAAGGCCGAGGGAGGCCUCGGCGUCCGGUCUCUCCAGGAUCAGAACGACUGCCUCCUGCUCAAGCUCCUUCACAGGCUGCAUUCCCCGACGCCUUCUCGGUGGGCCUGUUGGGUCUGGGGCCUGAUGGGAGGAGGAUCUCUCCUGGCCCCUGGAAGUCCCCCCCUCCCGGGCGAGCACUGGCGGUCCCUCCUCGACUUGUUGCCGGCCUACCGGGCCCUUAUGAGGGUCGUGGUGGGGGACGGCCGAAGGACGUCGUUCUGGCAUGAUCGGUGGCUCCCAUGCGGGGCACUCGUCGUGGCCUUCCCCGCCUUAUUCUCGCAUGCGCUUCGCCGGGAGGUGUCGGUCUGGGAGGCCCGCCACAGCAGCGUCCGUGCCCUUCUCAUUCCCCGACUCAUCCCCUUGGCAGUGCGUGAGUGCGCCGCCGUUCAGUGUCUCAUGGAGGGGGUGGCGCCCCUGGAUGGACCUGAUUCCAGGGUGGCUGUCCUUUUCUCGGGACCAAAGGGGAAACUCUCGUCGCGGGGGGUUUACACCCUUGUCCGCUUCGGGGGGGCCACGUGGUCACCGGCGCCCUUCCUUUGGUCGUCCCGGGCUCCAUCGCGUGUUGUGUUCUUCGGUUGGCUGCUGGCCCUGGCUCACAUUAAUACGAGGGAUGUGCUCCUGCGGAAAACCAUCCUGACGGUGGCGGAGGCUGGGUGUCCCUGCUGCUCGGCCGCGCUAGAGACUGCAAACCAGCUCAUCUUCGGCUGGUUUGGUGCAUUCAGCUUAGUCAGGAACAUUCUUCAGGAUAGAGCUACUGGAAGCAAGUAA
Molecule: ribosomal RNA, 1050 nt
Filed under: Triticum aestivum (bread wheat)
Lineage: Eukaryota; Viridiplantae; Streptophyta; Magnoliopsida; Poales; Poaceae
Description: partial small subunit ribosomal RNA
Source: RNAcentral